This 140-nucleotide unclassified non-coding RNA is filed under the name uncultured Rozellomycota. Its description in RNAcentral is "uncultured Cryptomycota sequence contains ITS2". The record is from RNAcentral. Lineage: Eukaryota; Fungi; Rozellomycota.
UCCUCUGCAGCAAUGCGAUUUGACUCUUGUCUUUGUUGACCGAGUUUAAAGGGAGCUAGAGGAUGGUCAGUUUAGACUAGUCCGAGUGCUACGCAUUCUUGGAUCUAGCGCUAGAUUGCUCAUUACAUCUAUUUUUUUAU